Molecule: ribosomal RNA, 474 nt
Filed under: uncultured bacterium
Lineage: Bacteria
Description: SSU rRNA
Rfam family: Bacterial small subunit ribosomal RNA
Source: RNAcentral
AGGACGAACGCUGGCGGCGUGCUUAACACAUGCAAGUCGAACGGUAAGGCCCCUUCGGGGGUACACGAGUGGCGAACGGGUGAGUAACACGUGAGCAACCUGCCCUUGACUCUGGAAUAACAGCUGGAAACAGCUGCUAAUACUGGAUACGACCUCCGGCGACAUCGCCUGGAGGUGGAAAGCUCCGGCGGUCAAGGAUGGGCUCGCGGCCUAUCAGCUUGUUGGUGGGGUAACGGCCCACCAAGGCAUCGACGGGUAGCUGGUCUGAGAGGACGAUCAGCCACACUGGGACUGAGACACGGCCCAGACUCCUACGGGAGGCAGCAGUUAGGAAUCUUGCGCAAUGGGCGAAAGCCUGACGCAGCAACGCCGCGUGGGGGAUGAAGGCUCUCGGGUUGUAAACCCCUUUCAGUAGGGACGAAUUCAGACGGUACCUACAGAAGAAGCCCCGGCCAACUACGUGCCAGCAGCCGC